This 444-nucleotide ribosomal RNA is filed under the name uncultured bacterium. RNAcentral describes it as "bacterial SSU rRNA". It matches the Rfam family "Bacterial small subunit ribosomal RNA", at positions 338 to 795 of the family's 1533-position model. The record is from RNAcentral.
CCUACGGGGGGCUGCAGUCGAGAAUUUUCCGCAAUGGGCGAAAGCCUGACGGAGCGACGCCGCGUGGAGGAUGAAGUUCUUCGGAACGUAAACUCCUUUUGCCAGGGACGAAGUUAUUGACGGUACCUGGAGAAUAAGAGGUUGCUAAACUCGUGCCAGCAGCAGCGGUAAUACGAGUGCCUCAAGCGUUAUCCGGAAUCAUUGGGCGUAAAGGGUGUGUAGGCGGCAGUAUUAGUCUUACGUUAAAUGUAUCGGCUCAACCGAUAAGCUGCGUGGGAAACGGUAUUGCUUAGAGGACGGAAGAGGUCUCUGGAACUCAUAGUGUAGCGGUGAAAUGCGUUGAUAUUAUGGGGAACACCAAAAGCGAAGGCAAGAGACUGGUCCGCUCCUGACGCUGAAACACGAAAGCGUGGGUCGCGAAUGGGAUUAGAUACCCCUGUAGUC